Non-coding RNA from Schizosaccharomyces pombe (fission yeast), 659 nucleotides. The record is from the annotation of a GenBank genome assembly. Lineage: Eukaryota; Fungi; Ascomycota; Schizosaccharomycetes; Schizosaccharomycetales; Schizosaccharomycetaceae.
ACAGGACAUGAUGAAUUUCCCCAUUUUUGCAAGCAUGGACAGUGAAAAGUAUGCUGGCACACAAUGGUAAUUAAACCAGUAAUUGAAGAAUCCAUACGUUCUAAACAUACAACGCAUGUAGGAAGCUCGAUAAGGGCAGGAGUCGUAGAAGCAAAAGGUUUGGAGGAAGGGCCUACUAGUUGCUGCUCAGUUGAAGAAGAAUCAGAGCUCUCCAUUGGAUAUUUUAUAUUUACUUUGUCAAUAUGUAAAACGUGGCAAGUUUCAGGAUCUAUUUGGCUAAAAGCUUUGCCAUUGAACUCUGUAUAGAACCUAAUAACACUUGCUUGAUCCUUGAAUUUCAACAGCGCCAUGAUCCGAUUUGGAUCUUUCGUCUUAAGAAGACGUAUAUGCUGGAUUGACUUGCAAUGUUUCUCUCCCAAAAAACCCAAUACAUCGGAGGGCGACAUAUAUAAGGGAAUUGCCAAUAUCGCAAGGAUUAGACCUGGCGCAUCAAAUUCAUGGCUUUCUGAAGGAAAUACCCUGUAUAAAUGAACGACGCCAUGUCCAAGAGAUGUCUCCUCAACCUCAGGAACUUUAGAAGAUGGAAAAUCCAUUGAUAAUAACUUUAUUUCACCCAAUCGAAAAUUAAAAUGAUCGCCUCCAAAAGAAUUACCAACAAC